Small nuclear RNA from Antechinus flavipes (yellow-footed antechinus), 109 nucleotides. Lineage: Eukaryota; Metazoa; Chordata; Mammalia; Dasyuromorphia; Dasyuridae. The record is from RefSeq and is a predicted model, not a curated record.
GUGCUUGCUUUGGCAGCACAUAUACUAAAAAAUUGGAAUGAUACAGAGAAGAUUAACAUGGCCCCUACGCAAGGAUGACAUGCAAAUUCAUGAAGCAUUCCAUAUAAGA